UAGGGAAUCUUCCACAAUGGACGCAAGUCUGAUGGAGCAACGCCGCGUGAGUGAAGAAGGUUUUUCGGACCGAAAGCUCUGUUGUUGGUGAAGAAGGAUAGAGGUAGUAACUGGCCUUUAUUUGACGGUAAUCAACCAGAAAGUCACGGCUAACUACGUGCCAGCAGCCGCGGUAAUACGUAGGUGGCAAGCGUUGUCCGGAUUUAUUGGGCGUAAAGCGAGCGCAGGCGGAAGAAUAAGUCUGAUGUGAAAGCCCUCGGCUUAACCGAGGAAUUGCAUCGGAAACUGUUUU
RNAcentral lists this ribosomal RNA (292 nucleotides) under uncultured bacterium. RNAcentral describes it as "partial 16S ribosomal RNA". It matches the Rfam family "Bacterial small subunit ribosomal RNA", at positions 355 to 639 of the family's 1533-position model. The record is from RNAcentral.